AUGCACAGUGAACACCCAAGGAUGCUAUUGUGGCUUCCCCUGGUCAUUGUAUUUGUGCUACAGUAAAUCUGAUCUGUACCUCUGCAGUAGGAAAGUGUGCUCUUCUCCUACAUGUAUUCAACGGGUCAGAAUAAAC
Molecule: small nucleolar RNA, 136 nt
Organism: Betta splendens (Siamese fighting fish)
Lineage: Eukaryota; Metazoa; Chordata; Actinopteri; Anabantiformes; Osphronemidae
Product: small nucleolar RNA SNORA22
Source: Ensembl